This 290-nucleotide ribosomal RNA is filed under the name uncultured bacterium. RNAcentral describes it as "partial 16S ribosomal RNA". It matches the Rfam family "Bacterial small subunit ribosomal RNA", at positions 29 to 336 of the family's 1533-position model. The record is from RNAcentral.
AACGAACGCUGGCGGCAUGCCUAACACAUGCAAGUCGAACGGGAUCCUGGUUUCGGCCAGGUGAGAGUGGCGGACGGGUGAGUAACGCGUGGGAACCUGCCCAGUGGUGGGGGAUAACUGCGGGGAAACUGCAGCUAAUACCGCAUGAGCCCGCAAGGGGAANAUUGAUCGCCAUUGGAGGGCCCGCGUUCGAUUAGGUAGUUGGUGAGGUAACGGCUCACCAAGCCUACGAUCGAUAGCUGGUCUGAGAGGAUGAUCAGCCACACUGGGACUGAGAUACCGGCCCAGAC